This 270-nucleotide ribosomal RNA is filed under the name uncultured Paenibacillus sp. RNAcentral describes it as "partial 16S ribosomal RNA". It matches the Rfam family "Bacterial small subunit ribosomal RNA", at positions 1115 to 1382 of the family's 1533-position model. The record is from RNAcentral. Lineage: Bacteria; Bacillati; Bacillota; Bacilli; Caryophanales; Paenibacillaceae.
UUGCCAGCAUUCGAUUGGGCACGUCUAAAGGUGACUGCCGGCUAAAAAGUCGGAGGAAGGUGGGGAUGACGUCAAAUCAUCAUGCCCCUUAUGACCUGGGCUACACACGUGCUACAAUGGGCGGUACAAAGGGUCGCGAACCCGCGAGGGGGAGCCAAUCCCAAAAAAGCCGCUCUCAGUUCGGAUUGCAGGCUGCAACUCGCCUGCAUGAAGCCGGAAUCGCUAGUAAUCGCGGAUCAGCAUGCCGCGGUGAAUACGUUCCCGGGCCUU